GAUGAAGAACGUAGCGAAAUGCGAUACGUAAUGUGAAUUGCAGAAUUCAGUGAAUCAUCGAGUCUUUGAACGCACAUUGCGCCCCCUGGUAUUCCGGGGGGCAUGCCUGUCCGAGCGUCAUUGCUGCCCUCAAGCACGGCUUGUGUGUUGGGCCUCCGUCCUCCUCCCGGGGGACGGGCCCGAAAGGCAGCGGCGGCACCGCGUCCGGUCCUCGAGCGUAUGGGGCUUCGUCACCCGCUCUUGUAGGCCCGGCCGGCGCUUGCCGACACAUCAAUCUUUUUUCCAGGUUGACCUCGGAUCAGGUAGGGAUACCGCUGAACUUAAGCAUAUCAAUAAGCGGAGGA
RNAcentral lists this unclassified non-coding RNA (344 nucleotides) under soil metagenome. RNAcentral's name for it is "partial contains 5.8S ribosomal RNA, internal transcribed spacer 2, and large subunit ribosomal RNA". The stretch from base 1 to 120 matches the Rfam family "5.8S ribosomal RNA", at positions 35 to 154 of the family's 154-position model. The record is from RNAcentral.